RNAcentral lists this ribosomal RNA (708 nucleotides) under uncultured forest soil bacterium. RNAcentral's name for it is "bacterial SSU rRNA". It matches the Rfam family "Bacterial small subunit ribosomal RNA", at positions 64 to 767 of the family's 1533-position model. The record is from RNAcentral.
GAACGGGGUGGAGGGGCAACUCUCCAUUCAGUGGCGAACGGGUGAGUAAUGCAUCGGAACGUGUCCCGGAGUGGGGGAUAACGCCGCGAAAGCGGCGCUAAUACCGCAUAUUCUCCAUGGAGGAAAGUGGGGGACCCGCAAGGGCCUCAUGCUCGGGGAGCGGCCGAUGUCCGAUUAGCUUGUUGGUAGGGUAACGGCCUACCAAGGCGACGAUCGGUAGCUGGUCUGAGAGGAUGAUCAGCCACACUGGGACUGAGACACGGCCCAGACUCCUACGGGAGGCAGCAGUGGGGAAUUUUGGACAAUGGGGGCAACCCUGAUCCAGCCAUGCCGCGUGCGGGAAGAAGGCCUUCGGGUUGUAAACCGCUUUUAGCCGGGACGAAAGCGCUACGGAUAACACCCGUGGCGGUUGACGGUACCGGCGGAAUAAGCACCGGCUAACUACGUGCCAGCAGCCGCGGUAAUACGUAGGGUGCGAGCGUUAAUCGGAAUUACUGGGCGUAAAGCGUGCGCAGGCGGUGCGUUGUGUCGGCGGUGAAAUCCCCGGGCUUAACCUGGGAAUUGCCGUUGAAACUGGCGCACUUGAGUGUGGCAGAGGGGGGUGGAAUUCCGCGUGUAGCAGUGAAAUGCGUAAAGAUGCGGAGGAACACCAAUGGCGAAGGCAGCCCCCUGGGCUAACACUGACGCUCAGGCACGAAAGCGUGGGGA